This is a long non-coding RNA of Oncorhynchus kisutch (coho salmon), 2926 nucleotides long. RefSeq lists it as uncharacterized. Lineage: Eukaryota; Metazoa; Chordata; Actinopteri; Salmoniformes; Salmonidae. The transcript has 7 exons. The record is from RefSeq and is a predicted model, not a curated record.
UCCAACAUCGUUUUAGAGAAUUUGGCAGUGUGUCCAACCGGCCUCACAACCGCAGACCCAGUGCUCUACAGUGCAGUAUUUCACUUGCAUUUGCCCCUAAAAAUAGAUAUGUGCGAACCUAAAAAUCAUUUUUUACGAGCACAGUGUGCGAUUAAAGAUUACAACCCAUGGUAAUCUAUGUUUCCCCCGCUGCUAAUUGUUUAAAAACUUCAGGUCCCACAUUCUACAAGCGGCAUGCACCAACCACAGUAGUUUUCUGUGAUGACGCAGUCCAGUCAGAGAGAGAGAAAGGUGAACAACACUGGAAAAUAGUGUCGGUAUAGGCUAUAAAUUAACGUGCAGACAUCGCUAAAAAUGAAGCCCAUUCAAUUUUAAUUUAAGCGAAAAAGAGACUAGGAGAAAGAGGAAUCCGGCAAUGGGGAUUCGCAAGGUUCAACUAAUGAAGCCUCUUCACAAGGUUGACCUGAGGCGGCUAACGUUAGGGAUGCUGAAAACAACAUUAGCGACGCUACCGUGACCCCCGCUGUCACUUCAACGUCCACUGUAGCCGGUGGAGGGAGAACAUAUAGAUUCAAUGCGAAUUGGCUCAAAAUGUUCCCAUGGCUAGAGUUCGAAAACAACGUCAUGUUCUGCAAAUAAUGUAGAGGGCAGAAACAGGCGGGAUCGUCUUUCGUGUCAGGAAACCCGCAUCUGAAAAGAGAUAGCGUAGCAAAACAUUAUAUCUCGCGGCGGCAUAUCCAGUGCAGAGAUCUGUACCUGUUGAGAGAAACCUUCAGGCACGGUGUCAGCAGCCUUGAGGAGGCAAGUGCUGCUGUCUGAGGAGGAGAAGAGGAGGCAGCUGAAAAUAAAGAUAAACAUCGCAUACUUCAUUGCGAAAGAAGAACAUUUCGUCAAAUUUGAGCCGCUUAUCAGACUCCACCACAAAAACGGAGUUGACAAUCCCACAUACGACAAUGAUGUAAAAUGUGCGGAGAUGAUCGGUCAAAUUGCUGACAUAAUGAAAGAGCCCCUGUCAGCGAAUCUGAAAGCCGCGAAGCAUCUUGCCUUUCUAAUAGACGGAGACACUGAUAUAUAUCCAACACCGAAUGUGAGAUUGUCUACGUACGCUUGUUGGAGGAUGGGAAUGAAGCCAGUCAAUCUCCUGGUCAGCCAACAGACACUUGAGCACUCUCAUGCCAUUGGUGUUCUGGAUGCCACCAAGGCCACUUUUCGUGCUGUUUGCCCAGAGGAGGAUGGAGGGUCAUGGAUGAAGAAUUGCAUCUCCUUUGGGGCAAAUGGUGCCUCCAUGAACAUGGGCCACCGUGGGGGAGUGAUUGCCCACCUGCAGAGAGAGGCAGGGGGGCAUAUAAUCCCAAUCCACUACCAGAGCUGGCAAUACUGACCAUUCAGAAGAAAGAGCCAAAGGUGUAUGUCGUGUACGAUCUUCUGAAUCUGAUAUGGAAGAUGUAUCACUUCAGCUGAAAAUCCAAACGAGAACUCUAUGUUCUUGGGCAAGAGCUCGUCGGUGUGGAUAUUUGCACACAGUCUAGCGUCAAGGGAACUCGCUGGAUCUCCCAUGUCCACAGAGCCCUUAGUGUUCCUACAGCAUGGACAAGACAAGGACCUUGCCACUGACUAAGGCCAGUACUCCGUUGUUCUGCAGCACAUGGAGCACCUGGCCGUAGCAUCAACAACAGAAGUUCAAGGGCGGGCAAAGAUAAAGUGGGAAAUGGAGAAUGCACUCUUUUGUGUAUUCUGCCAUUUUCUUUCAGACAUGUUUGAGGAGCUAGCCUCACCCUGCAAAGAAAUGACCUGAUCCUCCCCCAAGCCAUGUCAGAGUUGAGGAAGACAGUGACCAGACUGGAAGCACUAAAGCUUAUGGCAAAGGCAGGAGGCAUGCUGGACAAGAUCCAGACCCUGCUUGCUCAUGAUGAGAGGAUAUUCCAGGGAAUAACACUGAAGAGGAAUCUGAAAGGCUUCACGGACCUCACCCCAAUCCCCAGCUGAAGCAGCACAUGGAGGCGGCCAUCAACAUCGGCGUGGAUGACCUCAAAGCCAGGUUUGGUAGUUUGCUGAAGGAUGAGGGUGUCCAGACCCCAGUGGAGUCUUUGAGUGCUAAACCCUGACACCUGGCCAGAAGACCAGGCCAGCCUUCUCACCUUUGGCGAUGAUGGUGUGGCAGACCUGAUGAGGCAUUUCAAGAAGCCUCUAGAGAGCGCGCAUCCAACCCGGAUGCAACAUGGCUGCAAUCCAGGAUGAGUGGCAGGAGCUGAAAAUCCUGGUCAGCCACAAUUUUAAGGACAAGUCCUACAGUGGCCUGUUGACAAAGGACCCCUACAGGCACAAUUACAAGAACAUACUGGAGUUGGUGCAGCUUAUGCUGGUGCUGCCCAUUUCACCCGCCCAGUGUGAGUGAGGCUUCUCUGCGCAGAACCGGAUUAAGAAUUCGACAAGAAGCUGCCUUGGGUUCUCCACGGCCGAAGACCUGAUGAGGAUCAGCCUGGAGGGGUCUCCUGUCGAGGAGUUCCAUCCCACUCCUGCCGUGGACCGCUGGCUGACCUCCAAGCGUGCCAGACGGCUGACCUCUAAGCGUGCCAGACGGCCAACAUACAAAAGCAGCUGGACAACUGAUAUCCUUUGCGUCUAGUAGGCAUGGGUCAAUGUGUGAUUUUGGUGGUAUGUGCUGUUCCACAGAUGUGUGUCCCUUAGUACACGCUCACACACGCAGUAUAAAUAUAUAUGUGAUAAAUUGUUUGUUAAUAAACUCUGUUACAUUUUUCACUGUGCUCCUAAAUUUCUUUGUGUGCUCCUACACUUUCAUUUAGGAGCGCAUGUACUCCUUGGGAAAAAAAGAUAGCGCAGAGCCCUGGGCAGACCACGUGUAUGGUGUCGUGUGGGCGAGUGGUUUUCUGAUGUCAACGUUGUGAACAGAGUGCCCCAUGGUGGU